GACGAACGCUGGCGGCGUGCCUAAUACAUGCAAGUCGAACGGGAGCGCCCGGUGCUUGCACUGGUCAAUCUAGUGGCGAACGGGUGAGUAACACGUGGGUAACCUGCCCAUCAGAGGGGGAUAACAUCCGGAAACGGAUGCUAAAACCGCAUAGGUCUUCGAACCGCAUGGUUUGAAGAGGAAAAGAGGCGCAAGCUUCUGCUGAUGGAUGGACCCGCGGUGCAUUAGCUAGUUGGUGAGGUAACGGCUCACCAAGGCCGUGAUGCAUAGCCGACCUGAGAGGGUGAUCGGCCACAUUGGGACUGAGACACGGCCCAAACUCCUACGGGAGGCAGCAGUAGGGAAUCUUCCGCAAUGGACGCAAGUCUGACGGAGCAACGCCGCGUGAGUGAAGAAGGUUUUCGGAUCGUAAAACUCUGUUGUUAGAGAAGAACAAGUGCUAGAGUAACUGUUAGCGCCUUGACGGUAUCUAACCAGAAAGCCACGGCUAACUACGUG
RNAcentral lists this ribosomal RNA (498 nucleotides) under uncultured bacterium. RNAcentral describes it as "partial 16S ribosomal RNA". It matches the Rfam family "Bacterial small subunit ribosomal RNA", at positions 28 to 507 of the family's 1533-position model. The record is from RNAcentral.